UACAUGCAAGUUGAACGAGAUUAGUUUUAGCAAUAGAACUUUUUUAGUGGCGCACGGGUGCGUAACGCGUAUGCAACCUACCUUAAACAGGGGAAUAGCCUCUCGAAAGAGAGAUUAAUACCGCAUAAUAUAUAUUUGGAGCAUUCUAGAUAUAUUAAACCUACGGGGGUUUAAGAUGGGCAUGCGUGACAUUAGCUAGUUGGUGAGGUAAUGGCUCACCAAGGCAACGAUGUCUAGGGGGUCUGAGAGGAUGUCCCCCCACACUGGUACUGAGACACGGACCAGACUCCUACGGGAGGCAGCAGUAGGGAAUAUUGGUCAAUGGAGGCAACUCUGAACCAGCCAUGCCGCGUGCAGGACUAAGGCCCUAUGGGUCGUAAACUGCUUUUGAACGGGAAGAAAUGUAUCUACGUGUAGAUAUUUGACGGUACCGUUAGAAUAAGGAUCGGCUAACUUCGUGCCAGCAGCCGCGGUAAUACGAAGGAUCCAAGCGUUGUCCGGAUUUACUGGGUUUAAAGGGUGCGUAGGCGGACUUAUAAGUCAGUGGUGAAAGCCUUCAGCUUAACUGAAGAACUGCCAUUGAAACUGUAAGUCUCGAGUUCGGUUGAGGUCAUUGGAAUGUAACAUGUAGCGGUGAAAUGCAUAGAUAUGUUACAGAACACCAAUUGCGAAGGCAGAUGACUAAACCGAAACUGACGCUGAGGCACGAAAGCGUGGGGAUCAAACAGGAUUAGAUACCCUGGUAGUCCACGCCCUAAACGUUGAAUACUCGACCUUAGCGAUAUACAGUUAGGGUCCAAGCGAAAGCGUUAAGUAUUCCACCUGGGAAGUACGUUCGCAAGAAUGAAACUCAAAGGAAUUGACGGGGGCCCGCACAAGCGGAGGAGCAUGUGGUUUAAUUCGAUGAUACGCGAGGAACCUUACCUGGGCUUGAAAUGUAGUGAUCGAUGCAGAAAUGCAUAAUUCCUU
This 969-nucleotide ribosomal RNA is filed under the name uncultured Bacteroidota bacterium. RNAcentral describes it as "bacterial SSU rRNA". It matches the Rfam family "Bacterial small subunit ribosomal RNA", at positions 52 to 1019 of the family's 1533-position model. Lineage: Bacteria; Pseudomonadati; Bacteroidota. The record is from RNAcentral.